GCGGUCGUAGCUCAGUUGGAUAGAGCACGAGAUUCCUAAUCUCGGGGUCGUGGGUUCAACUCCCUCCGAUCGCACCA
This 77-nucleotide transfer RNA is filed under the name Alphaproteobacteria bacterium. RNAcentral describes it as "tRNA-Arg". It matches the Rfam family "tRNA". From Rfam's summary of the family: Transfer RNA (tRNA) molecules are approximately 80 nucleotides in length. The record is from RNAcentral. Lineage: Bacteria; Pseudomonadati; Pseudomonadota; Alphaproteobacteria.